Molecule: non-coding RNA, 566 nt
Organism: Paramuricea clavata
Lineage: Eukaryota; Metazoa; Cnidaria; Anthozoa; Malacalcyonacea; Plexauridae
Source: the annotation of a GenBank genome assembly
ACAUUAAUGCGCACAUCUGUGGUGCAAAUGUGCGCAAAUGACACUAUACUAUUAAUCACCUUCCGUGGACCAGCUCUUUUGCAAAUCAUUGUUUUUUACUUUACUUAAUAUUGACAUGUAUUGCAUGAAAGUCUGCCAUGUGUGGUGAAAAACAUUGAAAUUUUACAAAGCAUAUGGCUGAUAGGAACAAUUUACAGCUACAAUAGUACAGUAAUGCGUUACAUUAUGUAAGUGAGAGACUUUACCAGUGUGACACUGCAGUUUUCAAAUUUCACCAACGAAACUACUUCUAAAACCCCGCAUUUAUACUUACAUUUGCUACAGGAGGAAAAGAGAAACCAUUUUCAUUGUUAAAAUCGAUACAUGGUGCAGACGGUGGAUUUAAAAUGUCAUAAAAACUUUUAUUUUCAAAUUCCGAAGCGAAGCCAAGAACGGCCAUGUUGGAAAAUACCCUUGAACCCAGGCCUCGCACACAGAAUGAAAGACUCUGGAACAAUGAUCCUUCUCAAAUUUGAUAAAUUCAACAACUAAUCUACGCAUUUUCAAACGCAAUGCAUGGCGGUCUG